AAUUCUAAGGCGCUUGAGAGAACUCUGGAGAAGGAACUCGGCAAAUUAGUACCGUAACUUCGGGAUAAGGUACGCCCUUGUAGGUUGUAGCAAUUUACUUGCGAAGGCCGAAAGGGUUGCAGUGAAAAGGUGGCUGCGACUGUUUAAUAAAAACAUAGCACUGUGCUAACACGAAAGUGGAUGUAUACGGUGUGACGCCUGCCCGGUGCCGGAAGGUUAAUUGAUGGGGUGCAAGCUCUUGAUAGAAGCCCCGGUAAACGGCGGCCGUAACUAUAACGGUCCUAAGGUAGCGAAAUUCCUUGUCGGGUAAGUUCCGACCCGCACGAAUGGCGUAACGAUGGCCACACUGUCUCCUCUAGAGACUCAGCGAAGUUGAAAUGGUUGUGAAGAUGCAAUCUACCCGCGGUUAGACGGAAAGACCCCAUGAACCUUUACUAUAGCUUUACAUUGGACUUGGACAUCAUCUGUGUAGGAUAGGUGGGAGACUUUGAAGCAGGAUCGCUAGAUCUUGUGGAGUCACCCUUGAAAUACCACCCUGAUGUUGUCUAGGUUCUAACCCAGGUCCCUUAUCGGGAUCGGGGACCGUGUAUGGUGGGUAGUUUGACUGGGGCGGUCUCCUCCCAAAGAGUAACGGAGGAGUGCGAAGGUAACCUAGGUACGGUCGGAAAUCGUACUGUUAGUGCAAUGGCAUAAGGUUGCUUGACUGCGAGACGGACAGGUCGAGCAGGUGCGAAAGCAGGUCAUAGUGAUCCGGUGGUUCUGUAUGGAAGGGCCAUCGCUCAACGGAUAAAAGGUACUCUGGGGAUAACAGGCUGAUUCCUCCCAAGAGUUCAUAUCGACGGGGGAGUUUGGCACCUCGAUGUCGGCUCAUCACAUCCUGGGGCUGUAGUCGGUCCCAAGGGUAUGGCUGUUCGCCAUUUAAAGUGGUACGUGAGCUGGGUUUAAAACGUCGUGAGACAGUUUGGUCCCUAUCUGCCGUGGGCGUUGGAAGUUUGAAGGGGGCUGUUCCUAGUACGAGAGGACCGGAAUGGACAGAUCUCUGGUGGAUCGGUUGUCACGCCAGUGGCAUAGCCGAGUAGCUAAAUCUGGAAGAGAUAAACGCUGAAAGCAUCUAAGCGUGAAACUUGCCCUAAGAUGAGACUUCCCUUGUACUUUAAGUACACUAAAGAGUCGUUCAAGACCAGGACGUUGAUAGGUCAGGUGUG
RNAcentral lists this ribosomal RNA (1205 nucleotides) under marine metagenome. Its description in RNAcentral is "bacterial LSU rRNA". It matches the Rfam family "Bacterial large subunit ribosomal RNA", at positions 1677 to 2869 of the family's 2925-position model. The record is from RNAcentral.